CCCAGGAUCAGAGGAUGGACA
This 21-nucleotide microRNA is filed under the name Sus scrofa (pig). RNAcentral describes it as "ssc-miR-9804-5p". Lineage: Eukaryota; Metazoa; Chordata; Mammalia; Artiodactyla; Suidae. The record is from miRBase by way of RNAcentral.